RNAcentral lists this ribosomal RNA (206 nucleotides) under uncultured bacterium. RNAcentral describes it as "partial 16S ribosomal RNA". It matches the Rfam family "Bacterial small subunit ribosomal RNA", at positions 1287 to 1500 of the family's 1533-position model. The record is from RNAcentral.
CUCAGUUCGGAUCGGAGUCUGCAACUCGACNCCGUGAAGCUGGAUUCGCUAGUAAUCGCGCAUCAGCCACGGCGCGGUGAAUACGUUCCCGGGCCUUGUACACACCGCCCGUCAAGCCAUGGAAGCCGGGAGUGCCUGAAGUGCGUGAGCGCAAGCAGCGCCCUAAGGUAAAACCGGUGACUGGGGCUAAGUCGUAACAAGGUAUC